AGCGUAAUCCCUUGCCGGGUAAGUUCCGGCCCGCAUGAAUGGCUUAACGACUUGAAGACUGUCUGAACG
RNAcentral lists this ribosomal RNA (69 nucleotides) under Candidatus Staskawiczbacteria bacterium RIFCSPHIGHO2_01_FULL_37_17. RNAcentral describes it as "partial 23S ribosomal RNA". The record is from RNAcentral. Lineage: Bacteria; Candidatus Staskawicziibacteriota.